This 379-nucleotide ribosomal RNA is filed under the name uncultured eukaryote. RNAcentral describes it as "SSU rRNA". It matches the Rfam family "Eukaryotic small subunit ribosomal RNA", at positions 587 to 970 of the family's 1831-position model. The record is from RNAcentral.
AGCUCCAAUCGCGUAUAUUAAAGGUUGUUGCGGUUAAGAAGCUCGUAGUUGGAUUUCUGUUGGGAACGACCGGUCUGCCCAUUGGGUGUAUAUCCGGCUUGUUCUCGGCAUCUUCUUGGUGAACGUUGCUGCACUUGACUGCGUGGAGCGCUACCCAGGACUUUUACUUUGAGGAAAUUAAACUGUUUCAAGCAGGCAUAUGCCUUGAAUACGUUAGCAUGGAAUAAUGAGAUAGGACCUCGGCUCUAUUUUGUUGGUUUCUAAAGCUGAGGUAAUGAUUAAGAAGAAUACUAGGGGGCAUUCGUAUUUAACUGUCGGUAAUGAAUUUCUUGGAUUUGGUAAAGACGGACUACGGCGAAAGCAUUUGCCAAGGAUGUUC